UUGACCCCCCUUUUCUUCCCUCCAAACAAAUCCAGGAGAACAAAGGAACACUGCUAUUCCUGUGUUUAACCCUCUGCCUAAGAGAGGAAAGUAAGAGUGGAUGCAUUACUGAUACAAAAUCAUCCACCAUUACCCCUCAUCACCUGUUUACAAAUAAAAUAUUGGAACUUGGAAGGCUGCCUGGAUCCUGUGUCUAAAUGUGCACCCAACGUAUGAUGUUCAGCGAAUCACCGCCAAUAUAGUCUACAGUUUUUUCAGUUAGUGAACUGCUACUCCUCUUAA
Solea senegalensis (Senegalese sole) is the source of this 282-nucleotide long non-coding RNA. RefSeq lists it as uncharacterized. NCBI's taxonomy places the organism in Eukaryota, Metazoa, Chordata, Actinopteri, Pleuronectiformes, Soleidae. The transcript has 3 exons. The record is from RefSeq and is a predicted model, not a curated record.